AUUGAACGCUGGCGGCAGGCCUAACACAUGCAAGUCGAGCGGAUGAAGGGAGCUUGCUCCUGGAUUCAGCGGCGGACGGGUGAGUAAUGCCUAGGAAUCUGCCUGGUAGUGGGGGAUAACGUCCGGAAACGGGCGCUAAUACCGCAUACGUCCUGAGGGAGAAAGUGGGGGAUCUUCGGACCUCACGCUAUCAGAUGAGCCUAGGUCGGAUUAGCUAGUUGGUGGGGUAAAGGCCUACCAAGGCGACGAUCCGUAACUGGUCUGAGGGGAUGAUCAGUCACACUGGAACUGAGACACGGUCCAGGCUCCUACGGGAGGCAGCAGUGGGGAAUAUUGGACAAUGGGCGAAAGCCUGAUCCAGCCAUGCCGCGUGUGUGAAGAAGGUCUUCGGAUUGUAAAGCACUUUAAGUUGGGAGGAAGGGCAGUAAGUUAAUACCUUGCUGUUUUGACGUUACCAACAGAAUAAGCACCGGCUAACUUCGUG
This 484-nucleotide ribosomal RNA is filed under the name uncultured bacterium. RNAcentral describes it as "partial 16S ribosomal RNA". It matches the Rfam family "Bacterial small subunit ribosomal RNA", at positions 30 to 507 of the family's 1533-position model. The record is from RNAcentral.